This 432-nucleotide ribosomal RNA is filed under the name Mammaliicoccus sciuri. RNAcentral's name for it is "bacterial SSU rRNA". It matches the Rfam family "Bacterial small subunit ribosomal RNA", at positions 23 to 443 of the family's 1533-position model. Lineage: Bacteria; Bacillati; Bacillota; Bacilli; Caryophanales; Staphylococcaceae. The record is from RNAcentral.
CUCAGGAUGAACGCUGGCGGCGUGCCUAAUACAUGCAAGUCGAGCGAACAGAUGAGAAGCUUGCUUCUCUGAUGUUAGCGGCGGACGGGUGAGUAACACGUGGGUAACCUACCUAUAAGACUGGGAUAACUCCGGGAAACCGGGGCUAAUACCGGAUAAUAUUUUGAACCGCAUGGUUCAAUAGUGAAAGACGGUUUCGGCUGUCACUUAUAGAUGGACCCGCGCCGUAUUAGCUAGUUGGUAAGGUAACGGCUUACCAAGGCGACGAUACGUAGCCGACCUGAGAGGGUGAUCGGCCACACUGGAACUGAGACACGGUCCAGACUCCUACGGGAGGCAGCAGUAGGGAAUCUUCCGCAAUGGGCGAAAGCCUGACGGAGCAACGCCGCGUGAGUGAUGAAGGUCUUCGGAUCGUAAAACUCUGUUGUUAGG